UCCCUGUAGUGCCAUGAAUAGCGUGUUGGACUUCUAUUCCGAAGGUCGUGGGUUUGAACCCUACCUGGAGAA
Molecule: non-coding RNA, 72 nt
Organism: Trichonephila clavata
Lineage: Eukaryota; Metazoa; Arthropoda; Arachnida; Araneae; Nephilidae
Source: the annotation of a GenBank genome assembly